UUGGAAUUUUGGACAAUGGACGAAAGUCUGAUCCAGCGACGCCGCGUGGACGAUGAAGGCCUUCGGGUUGUAAAGUCCUUUUGCUCGGGAACAAUUUUUGAGCGUACCGAGAGAAUAAGAGGUUGCUAACUCUGUGCCAGCAGCAGCGGUAAUACAGAGACCUCAAGCGUUAUCCGGAAUCAUUGGGCGUAAAGCGUACCGAUAGGUGGUUUUACAAGUCAGAAGUGAAAUCUCUCAGCUUAACUGGGAGACUGUCUUUUGAAACUGUAAAACUAGAGGGGCAAAGAGGAAGCUGGAACGAACGGUGUAGUAGUGAAAUGCGUUGAUAUCGUUCGGAACACCAAUAGCGUAGGCAGGCUUCUGGGUGCCACCUGACACUGCUAGGACGAAAGCGUGGGGAGCGAAUG
This 407-nucleotide ribosomal RNA is filed under the name uncultured bacterium. Its description in RNAcentral is "bacterial SSU rRNA". It matches the Rfam family "Bacterial small subunit ribosomal RNA", at positions 356 to 774 of the family's 1533-position model. The record is from RNAcentral.